This 468-nucleotide ribosomal RNA is filed under the name uncultured bacterium. RNAcentral describes it as "partial 16S ribosomal RNA". It matches the Rfam family "Bacterial small subunit ribosomal RNA", at positions 28 to 507 of the family's 1533-position model. The record is from RNAcentral.
GAUGAACGCUGACAGAAUGCUUAACACAUGCAAGUCUACUUGAAUUUGGGUUUUUUCACUUAGAUUUGGGUGGCGGACGGGUGAGUAACGCGUAAAGAACUUGCCUCACAGCUAGGGACAACAUUUGGAAACGAAUGCUAAUACCUGAUAUUAUGAUUAUAAGGCAUCUUAGAAUUAUGAAAGCUAUAUGCGCUGUGAGAGAGCUUUGCGUCCCAUUAGCUAGUUGGAGAGGUAACGGCUCACCAAGGCGAUGAUGGGUAGCCGGCCUGAGAGGGUGAACGGCCACAAGGGGACUGAGACACGGCCCUUACUCCUACGGGAGGCAGCAGUGGGGAAUAUUGGACAAUGGACCAAGAGUCUGAUCCAGCAAUUCUGUGUGCACGAUGACGUUUUUCGGAAUGUAAAGUGCUUUCAGUUGGGAAGAAAAAAAUGACGGUACCAACAGAAGAAGUGACGGCUAAAUACGUG